UACAGAGGUCUCAAGCGUUGUUCGGAUUCAUUGGGCGUAAAGGGUGCGUAGGCGGCGCGGUAAGUCGGGUGUGAAAUCUCGGAGCUUAACUCCGAAACUGCAUUCGAUACUGCCGUGCUUGAGGACUGGAGAGGAGACUGGAAUUUACGGUGUAGCGGUGAAAUGCGUAGAUAUCGUAAGGAAGACCAGUGGCGAAGGCGGGUCUCUGGACAGUUCCUGACGCUGAUGCGCGAAAGCCAGGGGAGCGAACGGG
This 253-nucleotide ribosomal RNA is filed under the name uncultured bacterium. RNAcentral's name for it is "partial 16S ribosomal RNA". It matches the Rfam family "Bacterial small subunit ribosomal RNA", at positions 524 to 776 of the family's 1533-position model. The record is from RNAcentral.